This 492-nucleotide ribosomal RNA is filed under the name uncultured bacterium. RNAcentral's name for it is "partial 16S ribosomal RNA". It matches the Rfam family "Bacterial small subunit ribosomal RNA", at positions 29 to 507 of the family's 1533-position model. The record is from RNAcentral.
AGUGAACGCUGGCGGUAGGCCUAACACAUGCAAGUCGAACGGCAGCACAGUAAGAGCUUGCUCUUACGGGUGGCGAGUGGCGGACGGGUGAGGAAUACAUCGGAAUCUACUUUUUCGUGGGGGAUAACGUAGGGAAACUUACGCUAAUACCGCAUACGACCUACGGGUGAAAGCAGGGGAUCUUCGGACCUCGCGCGAUUGAAUGAGCCGAUGUCGGAUUAGCUAGUUGGCGGGGUAAAGGCCCACCAAGGCGACGAUCCGUAGCUGGUCUGAGAGGAUGAUCAGCCACACUGGAACUGAGACACGGUCCAGACCCCUACGGGAGGCAGCAGUGGGGAAUAUUGGACAAUGGGCGCAAGCCUGAUCCAGCCAUACCGCGUGGGUGAAGAAGGCCUUCGGGUUGUAAAGCCCUUUUGUUGGGAAAGAAAAGCAGCAGGUUAAUACCCCGCUGUUCUGACGGUACCCAAAGAAUAAGCACCGACUAACUUCGUG